GGGUGGUUAGCUCAGUCGGUAGAGCAGCGGACUUUUAAUCCGUUGGUCGCGAGUUCGAAUCUCGCACCUCCUACCA
This 76-nucleotide transfer RNA is filed under the name Betaproteobacteria bacterium. Its description in RNAcentral is "tRNA-Lys". It matches the Rfam family "tRNA". From Rfam's summary of the family: Transfer RNA (tRNA) molecules are approximately 80 nucleotides in length. Their secondary structure includes four short double-helical elements and three loops (D, anti-codon, and T loops). Further hydrogen bonds mediate the characteristic L-shaped molecular structure. tRNAs have two regions of fundamental functional importance: the anti-codon, which is responsible for specific mRNA codon recognition, and the 3' end, to which the tRNAs corresponding amino acid is attached (by aminoacyl-tRNA synthetases). tRNAs cope with the degeneracy of the genetic code in two manners: having more than one tRNA (with a specific anti-codon) for a particular amino acid; and 'wobble' base-pairing, i.e. permitting non-standard base-pairing at the 3rd anti-codon position. The record is from RNAcentral. Lineage: Bacteria; Pseudomonadati; Pseudomonadota; Betaproteobacteria.